Molecule: ribosomal RNA, 397 nt
Filed under: uncultured bacterium
Lineage: Bacteria
Description: partial 16S ribosomal RNA
Rfam family: Bacterial small subunit ribosomal RNA
Source: RNAcentral
AUACGUAGGUGGCAAGCGUUGUCCGGAUUUAUUGGGCGUAAAGCGAGCGCAGGCGGUCUCUUAAGUCUGAUGUGAAAGCCCCCGGCUCAACCGGGGAGGGUCAUUGGAAACUGGGAGACUUGAGUGCAGAAGAGGAGAGUGGAAUUCCAUGUGUAGCGGUGAAAUGCGUAGAUAUAUGGAGGAACACCAGUGGCGAAGGCGGCUCUCUGGUCUGUAACUGACGCUGAGGCUCGAAAGCGUGGGGAGCAAACAGGAUUAGAUGCCCUGGGUGUCCACGCCGUAAACGAUGAGUGCUAAGUGUUGGAGGGUUUCCGCCCUUCAGUGCUGCAGCUAACGCAUUAAGCACUCCGCCUGGGGAGUACGGCCGCAAGGCUGAAACUCAAAUGAAUUGACGGGG